This 568-nucleotide ribosomal RNA is filed under the name uncultured bacterium. Its description in RNAcentral is "partial 16S ribosomal RNA". It matches the Rfam family "Bacterial small subunit ribosomal RNA", at positions 355 to 1375 of the family's 1533-position model. The record is from RNAcentral.
UGGGGAAUAUUGCACAAUGGGCGAAAGCCUGAUGCAGCAACGCCGCGUGAGGGACGACGGCCUUCGGGUUGUAAACCUCUUUUAGCAAGGAAGAAGCGAAAGUGACGGUACUUGCAGAAAAAGCGCCGGCUAACUACGUGCCAGCAGCCGCGGUAAUACGUAGGGCGCAAGCGUUAUCCGGAAUUAUUGGGCGUAAAGAGCUCGUAGGCGGUUUGUCGCGUCUGCUGUGAAAACCCGAGGCUCAACCUCGGGCCUGCAGUGGGUACGGGCAGACUAGAGUGCGGUAGGGGAGAUUGGAACUCCUGGUGUAGCGGUGGAAUGCGCAGAUAUCAGGAAGAACACCGAUGGCGAAGGCAGAUCUCUGGGCCGUAACUGACGCUGAGGAGCGAAAGGGUGGGGAGCAAACAGGCUUAGAUACCCUGGUAGUCCACCCCGUAAACGUUGGGAACUAGUUGUGGGGUCCAUUCCACGGAUUCCGUGACGCAGCUAACGCAUUAAGUUCCCCGCCUGGGGAGUACGGCCGCAAGGCUAAAACUCAAAUGAAUUGACGGGGUCAUAGCUGUUUCCU